CUACGGGGGGCAGCAGUAGGGAAUAUUGCACAAUGGACGAAAGUCUGAUGCAGCAACGCCGCGUGUGCGAUGAAGGCCUUCGGGUUGUAAAGCACUUUUCUGAGGGAAGAGGAAGGACGGUACCUCAGGAAUAAGUCUCGGCUAACUACGUGCCAGCAGCCGCGGUAACACGUAGGAGGCAAGCGUUAUCCGGAUUUACUGGGCGUAAAGCGCGUGCAGGCGGUUCGGUAAGUUGGAUGUGAAAGCUCCUGGCUCAACUGGGAGAUGCCGCUCAAUACUGCCGGACUCGAGGACGGUAGAGGGAGGUGGAAUUCCCGGUGUAGUGGUGAAAUGCGUAGAUAUCGGGAGGAACACCAGUGGCGAAAGCGGCCUCCUAGGCCGUUCCUGACGCUAAGACGCGAAAGCAUGGGUAGCGAACGGGAUUAGAUACCCCGGUAGUC
Molecule: ribosomal RNA, 440 nt
Filed under: uncultured bacterium
Lineage: Bacteria
Description: partial 16S ribosomal RNA
Rfam family: Bacterial small subunit ribosomal RNA
Source: RNAcentral